This 518-nucleotide ribosomal RNA is filed under the name uncultured bacterium. RNAcentral describes it as "bacterial SSU rRNA". It matches the Rfam family "Bacterial small subunit ribosomal RNA", at positions 68 to 507 of the family's 1533-position model. The record is from RNAcentral.
UACACGCAAAGAUGCAAUGGCAAGAGAGCAAGAAAUUAAAACAAGGUCAAUCAAAAAGACAUUUGAUUGAUAGAAUACAAGACAGUAUAAAACUUGUGAAUAAAAUUGAGUGCGGGAUAGUGGCGGACGGGUGAGUAACGCGUGAAUAAUCUGCCCCAUACAGGGGGAUAGCCUCGGGAAACCGGGAUUAAAACCGCAUAACACUUUAUCACCGCAUGGUGAUGAAGUCAAAUCGAUUAAGAGGUAUGGGAUGAGUUCGCGUCUGAUUAGCUAGUUGGCGGGGUAAAGGCCCACCAAGGCGACGAUCAGUAGCCGGCCUGAGAGGGUGACCGGCCACACUGGAACUGAGACACGGUCCAGACUCCUACGGGAGGCAGCAGUGGGGAAUAUUGCACAAUGGGGGAAACCCUGAUGCAGCGACGCCGCGUGAGUGAAGAAGGUCUUCGGAUCGUAAAACUCUGUCCUUGGUGACGAAGGAAGUGACGGUAACCAAGGAGGAAGCCCCGGCUAACUACGUG